RNAcentral lists this ribosomal RNA (517 nucleotides) under uncultured bacterium. Its description in RNAcentral is "bacterial SSU rRNA". It matches the Rfam family "Bacterial small subunit ribosomal RNA", at positions 8 to 518 of the family's 1533-position model. The record is from RNAcentral.
AGAGUUUGAUUAUGGCUCAGGAUGAACGCUAGCUACAGGCUUAACACAUGCAAGUCGAGGGGCAGCAUUGGAGUAGCAAUACUCAGAUGGCGACCGGCGCACGGGUGAGUAACACGUAUCCAACCUGCCGCUUACUCGGGGAUAGCCUUUCGAAAGAAAGAUUAAUACCCGAUGGUAUAAAGAGUUCGCAUGUUCUCUUUAUUAAAGAAUUUCGGUAAGCGAUGGGGAUGCGUUCCAUUAGAUAGUUGGCGGGGUAACGGCCCACCAAGUCUACGAUGGAUAGGGGUUCUGAGAGGAAGGUCCCCCACAUUGGAACUGAGACACGGUCCAAACUCCUACGGGAGGCAGCAGUGAGGAAUAUUGGUCAAUGGACGAGAGUCUGAACCAGCCAAGUAGCGUGAAGGAUGACUGCCCUAUGGGUUGUAAACUUCUUUUAUAAGGGAAUAAAGUGAGGGACGUGUCCCUUUUUGUAUGUACCUUAUGAAUAAGGAUCGGCUAACUCCGUGCCAGCAGCUGC